CCAGCAUGAAGUAACACGGACUUACCGAAAGGCCUAAUUUGAAGCUUGUAUGAAUAAUAUUCUCGGCAAGAAACUUUAGACCGUUUCUUCUUUCCAUUAAGCACUGUAUGAUGGAAAAUAAAACAAAUUUUAAUAUCUAUUUAUUACAUUUACAGUGCAAAACUUAGAAUAAAUACUAAAAGGUAUAUCUGUAAACCUUGAUUCUCAUUUCCAAUAAUUUGAGAUACAGAAUUAAAUGUGCCAGGAGAAGUGUCAAAAUUGGACAAAUGUUGAGGCUGAAAGUAUAUGCUUUUAUUUCUCUCAAUGCCUUCAUGCCAACCAGAUU
This 325-nucleotide long non-coding RNA is filed under the name Olea europaea (common olive). Its description in RNAcentral is "long non-coding RNA (OEUR_LNC001430)". Lineage: Eukaryota; Viridiplantae; Streptophyta; Magnoliopsida; Lamiales; Oleaceae. The record is from RNAcentral.